This 2854-nucleotide long non-coding RNA is filed under the name Triticum aestivum (bread wheat). Its description in RNAcentral is "long non-coding RNA (TAES_LNC025881)". The record is from RNAcentral. Lineage: Eukaryota; Viridiplantae; Streptophyta; Magnoliopsida; Poales; Poaceae.
UUGUGCAAGCUUGCAAAGUGAGGCACCCGGUAAAUCCGUUUUCAGGGACUUAGUUGUUUUCACUAAGUUUGAGAUAUUUUAGUUCAUGAUGCCAUAUGUUCAGCUUGUUUCUUAGUGAUCCGUGCCUCUUUUGAGGAUGAUCAGUAAAGGAGUUUUGUUAAUCAUGUUAUGCUCUAUCCAUCCAUGUCUUUGUUUGCAAUUUUGGAGCACCGUAGCUUGUGUCAAUCGAGUUCUACUUUUGCUUCGUGGUGAAUCUGGGCAGAUCGUCAACUCGUUUGCGAUUUUGCCGAUGUUAUUGUAGUUGAUCCGUGCAUGCUAUGCCAUUGUUCUUGCCAUGUCUAGCUUGUAUUUUGUGCCUUCUUAAUGAAUGUAUGCUUGCCUUGCUGUGACUUGCACCAUGGUGAGUGCAUCGAGCUCGUUUACAUGCCUUUGUGAGUUAUAUUUCAGCGUGCCUCAGUUUUCACUAAGUCUGAAAACUGAUUGUGUUUUAUGCUAUGUUCGUGUGCCCGUUAGUAUAUUUUGUGAUCCAUUUUGGCCUUAGGUCACUUUGAGACUUUUGUUAAGCUUGUUGAGUAGCUCCAUGCCAUGUUCUUACUUGUCUUAAUCAGGUCAUGUAUCAUGUUGUUUUGCUGCUCCGAAGAGGGCUUCGUGAUCUGAAAUUUCAGACAAGUGUUAAUUUCACUAAGUCUGGAAUCUGUUUUGCAUUUGCGUUUUUGCCAUGCUUGUUUGAACCCCAUAAUGGAUGAAUUAGCCGUGGCUCAGUGCUAGUCUUUUGUUAAGCAUCUUGUGUGCAUCCCUGCCAUGUAUUUUGUUGUCUUGUUUGGUGGCUGUAGCAUGUUCAUUUCGUUGCAUCUAGAUGCCUACUUGCUGUAAAUUGCAGACCGGUGUCAUCUUAAAACGCUUGCCAUUUUCAAACCGUAACUCCGAUUCCAAUGAUUUUUAUAUCGUUUUCAAGCGGUUUCAUCUUAUCUUUCCAGUAGCACCCUUGAAAUUCUAAGUUGGGGCCAGGUUCAUGCAUUUCAUGUCAUAUCUUGCAUUUUGCAUCCCGCAUCGCAUCCCGCAUAGCAUAUAAUCAUUUCAUCAUAUUGCUUGGUCUUGCACGUGGUUGAUUGUAUCCUUGUUGCUUGUUUGUCUUGUUGGGUAGAACCGGGAGACGAGUUCGCUACCGAGGAGCCCGUUGAGUUUGCUUGUGAGGAUCCAGUCAACUCUGACAACUGUGCAGGCAAGAUGAUCAUACCCUCGAAAUCACUACUAUCUUUGCUAUGCUAGUUUGCUCGCUCUUGCUAUGCCAAUGCUACGAUGCAUAUCUUUUGCUUGUCAGCCUCCCAAUUGCCAUGUCAAACCUCUAACCCACCUUGUCCUAGCAAACCGUUGAUUGACUAUGAUACCGCUUUGCUCAGCCCCUCUUAUAGCGUUGCUAGUUGCAGAUGAAGAUUGGAGGCCGUUCCUUGUUGGAACAUCUUUUAUUUACUUGUUGGGAUAUCAUUAUAUUGCCAUGUUAUCUUAAUGCAUCUAUAUACUUGGUAAAGGGUGGAAGGCUCGGCCUCUCGCCUAGUGUUUUGUUCCACUCUUGCCGCCCUAGUUUCCGUCAUAUCGGUGUUAUGUUCCCGGAUUUGCGUUCCUUAUGCGGUUGGGUUAUAAUGGGAACCCCUUGAUAUUUCGCCUUGAUUAAAGCUUGUCCAGCAAUGCCCAACCUUAGUUUUACCAUUUGCUACCUAGCCUUUUCUUUCCCUUGGGUUCUGUAGACUCAAGGGUCAUCUUAUUUUAACCCCCCCGGGCCAGUGCUCCUCUGAGUGUUGGUCCAAACCGUCAACCGCCUGUGGGUACCAGGGGCAACUCUGGGCUGGCCUACCGGAAGUUUGGACAAUCUGAGUGUGCCCUGAGAAAGAGAUAUGUGCAGCUCCUAUCGGGAUUUGUCGGCACAUUCGGGCGGUGUUGCUGGUCUUGUUUUAACCUGUCGAAGUGUCUUGAGUUACCGAGAUACCGAGUCUGAUCGGAACAUCUUGGGAGGAGGUCUAUUCCUUCGUUGACCGUGAGAGCUUGUCAUGGGCUAAGUUGGGACUCCCCUGCAGGGAUUGAACUUUCGAAAGCCGUGCCCGCGGUUAUGGGCAGAUGGGAAUUUGUUAAUGUCCGGUUGUAGAUAACUUAAACCUUAAUUAAUUAAAAUGAAUCAACUGAGUGUGUUACCGUGAUGGCCUCUUCUGGGUGGAGUCCGGGAAGUGGACACGGUGUUGGAGUUAUGCUUGCGCAGGUUGUCCUUCUAGAUUCUCGCUCGCGCUUUGCCUCCUCUUCUCGCCCUCUUUUGCGUAUAAGAUAGCCACCAUAUAUGCUAGUCGCUUGCUGCAGCUCCACAUAUAUUUGCCUCAUCCAUUCCUAUAAGCUUAAAUAGUUUUGAUCGCGAGGGUGCGAGAUUGCUGAGUCCCUGCGGCUCACAGAUACUAUAAUUCCAGAUGCAGGUCCGGCUGAUUUCGCUCCAGGUGACGAGUACGAGCUCAAGUGGGAGUUUGACGAGGACUCUCAGCGUUAUUAUGUUUCCUUUCCCGAUGAUCAGUAGUGGUGCCUAGUUGGGGUUCGAUUCAGGGCCUUGUCGCAUGUUGGGUUCUUUUCUAUUUUGGCCGUAGUCGGGCCAUGAGUGUUUGUCUGAUGGAUGUUAUUUAUGUACUUUGAUGUGACGUGGCGAGUGUAAGCCAACUAUGUUCUCCCCCUUUUUAUCAUAUAUUACAUGGGAUGUUGUAAUGAUUGCCUGACUUGUGACAUUGCUUUCAAUGCGGUUAUGUCUCUAAGUCGUGCCUCGACACGUGGGAGCUAUAGCCGCAUCGAGGGCGUUACAGGCACCAAAUAACAAUUAUUUAGG